RNAcentral lists this long non-coding RNA (493 nucleotides) under Zostera marina. RNAcentral's name for it is "long non-coding RNA (ZMAR_LNC003273)". The record is from RNAcentral. Lineage: Eukaryota; Viridiplantae; Streptophyta; Magnoliopsida; Alismatales; Zosteraceae.
AGAAAUUAGGUAAUACGAAUUACCCUAAUUUCUCCCCCAUUCCAGUCGAUUGCUCCCCGUCCGGCGAGCUUCUGGAACUGCAUUCUGCGCGCUCUUCAACUACAGAGCGUGCCCACAUUUUCACAGGACCAAUCGGGGUCAUAUAUAACAGUUACAGCUCCUAUCCUUCAUCGAUAUCUUUAGAAUCCCUUUGAGAAUGAAGCGAUUUUUGUUGGACGAAUACAGGCGGCUCGAACUUCUGUAUCAGCAGGGAGUUAUAGUUGGAGUCCUGAUGACCUCUACCGACGAUCGAUGCAACGAACGACCGUUUAUUCACAUUAUUUGAGCAUCCGAACCAUCUGUUGUUUGAUGUAAAGAAGAGGCUGAUGUUGCUGCAGAAAACUGAAACCACUGCAUUGAGUAUUUGGGUAUUGGAUGUCAUAGGAUAUAUGGGUAUUAUGUACCCUAUUGUAAAGUCUCUGGUUGAGUUGUGAUGGCUUGAAUGAUGGAAUAC